CGCGGGAUGGAGCAGCCUGGUAGCUCGUCGGGCUCAUAAACCCGAAGGUCGUCGGUUCAAAUCCGGCUCCCGCAACCA
Molecule: transfer RNA, 78 nt
Filed under: Pseudomonas putida
Lineage: Bacteria; Pseudomonadati; Pseudomonadota; Gammaproteobacteria; Pseudomonadales; Pseudomonadaceae
Description: tRNA-Met
Rfam family: tRNA
About the family: Transfer RNA (tRNA) molecules are approximately 80 nucleotides in length.
Source: RNAcentral